Molecule: ribosomal RNA, 156 nt
Filed under: Brassica napus (rape)
Lineage: Eukaryota; Viridiplantae; Streptophyta; Magnoliopsida; Brassicales; Brassicaceae
Description: rRNA 5_8S_rRNA
Rfam family: 5.8S ribosomal RNA
About the family: 5.8S ribosomal RNA (5.8S rRNA) is a component of the large subunit of the eukaryotic ribosome.
Source: RNAcentral
GACUCUCGGCAACGGAUAUCUCGGCUCUCGCAUCGAUGAAGAACGUAGCAAAAUGUGAUACUUGGUGUGAAUUGCAGAAUCCCGUGAACCAUCGAGUCUUUGAACGCAAGUUGUGCCCCAAGCCUUCUGGCCGAGGGCACGUCUGCCUGGGUGUCA